CAGCCGCCACGGUAAUACGUAGGGUCCGAGCGUUGUCCGGAAUUAUUGGGCGUAAAGGGCUCGUAGGCGGUUUGUCGCGUCGGGAGUGAAAACCAGCAGCUUAACUGCUGGCCUGCUUUCGAUACGGGCAGACUUGAGGCAUUCAGGGGAGAACGGAAUUCCUGGUGUAGCGGUGAAAUGCGCAGAUAUCAGGAGGAACACCGGUGGCGAAGGCGGUUCUCUGGGAAUGUUCUGACGCUGAGGAGCGAAAGUGUGGGGAGCGAACAGGAUUAGAUACCCCUGUAGUCCCUGUCUCUUAUAU
This 301-nucleotide ribosomal RNA is filed under the name uncultured bacterium. RNAcentral describes it as "partial 16S ribosomal RNA". It matches the Rfam family "Bacterial small subunit ribosomal RNA", at positions 509 to 809 of the family's 1533-position model. The record is from RNAcentral.